AUUGAACGCUGGCGGCAUGCCUUACACAUGCAAGUCGAACGGCAGCGGGGGAGAAGCUUGCUUUUCCUGCCGGCGAGUCGCGAACGGGUGAGUAAUACAUCGGAACGUGCCCUGUAGUGGGGGAUAACUAGUCGAAAGAUUAGCUAAUACCGCAUACAACCUGAGGGUGAAAGUGGGGGACCGCAAGGCCUCAUGCUAUAGGAGCGGCCGAUGUCUGAUUAGCUAGUUGGUGGGGUAAAGGCCUACCAAGGCGACGAUCAGUAGCUGGUCUGGGAGGACGAUCAGCCACACUGGGACUGAGACACGGCCCAGACUCCUACGGGAGGCAGCAGUGGGGAAUUUUGGACAAUGGGCGAAAGCCUGAUCCAGCAAUGCCGCGUGUGUGAAGAAGGCCUUCGGGUUGUAAAGCACUUUUGUCCGGAAAGAAAUGGCUCUGGUUAAUACCUGGGGUCGAUGACGGUACCGGAAGAAUAAGGACCGGCUAACUACGUGCCAGCCGCCGCGGUAA
Molecule: ribosomal RNA, 508 nt
Filed under: uncultured bacterium
Lineage: Bacteria
Description: partial 16S ribosomal RNA
Rfam family: Bacterial small subunit ribosomal RNA
Source: RNAcentral